RNAcentral lists this ribosomal RNA (447 nucleotides) under uncultured bacterium. RNAcentral's name for it is "partial 16S ribosomal RNA". It matches the Rfam family "Bacterial small subunit ribosomal RNA", at positions 29 to 523 of the family's 1533-position model. The record is from RNAcentral.
AGCGAACGCUGGCGGCAGGCUUAACACAUGCAAGUCGAACGCCCCGCAAGGGGAGUGGCAGACGGGUGAGUAACACGUGGGAACGUACCCUUUGGUUCGGAAUAACUUGGGGAAACUCAAGCUAAUACCGGAUAAGCCCUUAUGGGGAAAGGUUUACUGCCGAAGGAUCGGCCCGCGUCUGAUUAGCUAGUUGGUGAGGUAAUGGCUCACCAAGGCGACGAUCAGUAGCUGGGCUGAGAGGAUGAUCAGCCACACUGGGACUGAGACACGGCCCAGACUCCUACGGGAGGCAGCAGUGGGGAAUAUUGGACAAUGGGGGCAACCCUGAUCCAGCCAGGCCGCGUGAGUGAUGAAGGCCUUAGGGUUGUAAAGCUCUUUUACCCGGGACGAUAAUGACGGUACCGGGAGAAUAAGCCCCGGCUAACUUCGUGCCAGCCGCCGCCGUAA